GACGAACGCUGGCGGCGUGCUUAACACAUGCAAGUCGAACGGAAAGGCCCUGCUUGCAGGGUACUCGAGUGGCGAACGGGUGAGUAACACGUGGGUGAUCUGCCCUGCACUUCGGGAUAAGCCUGGGAAACUGGGUCUAAUACCGGAUAGGAGCCAUUUUUAGUGUGAUGGUUGGAAAGUUUUUUCGGUGUAGGAUGAGCUCGCGGCCUAUCAGCUUGUUGGUGGGGUAAUGGCCUACCAAGGCGGCGACGGGUAGCCGGCCUGAGAGGGUGGACGGCCACAUUGGGACUGAGAGGCGGCCCAGACUCCGACGGGAGGCAGCAGUGGGGAAUAUUGCACAAUGGGCGCAAGCCUGAUGCAGCGACGCCGCGUGGGGGAUGACGGCCUUCGGGUUGUAAACUCCUUUCGCUAGGGACGAAGCUUUUUGUGACGGUACCUAGAUAAGAAGCACCGGCUAACUACGUG
RNAcentral lists this ribosomal RNA (465 nucleotides) under uncultured bacterium. Its description in RNAcentral is "partial 16S ribosomal RNA". It matches the Rfam family "Bacterial small subunit ribosomal RNA", at positions 28 to 507 of the family's 1533-position model. The record is from RNAcentral.